AAUGGUCGAAAGACUGACGCAGCGACGCCGCGUGCGGGAGGAAGCCCUUCGGGGUGUAAACCGCUGUACUCGGGACGAACUUCCCGUUUAGACGGGAUUGACGGUACCGGGGGAGGAAGCACCGGCUAACUCUGUGCCAGCAGCCGCGGUAAUACAGAGGGUGCGAGCGUUGUCCGGAAUCACUGGGCGUAAAGGGCGCGUAGGCGGCUUCUCACGCGUGCGGUGAAAGCCCGGGGGCUUAACUCCGGGUCUGCCGUGCGAACGGGGAGGCUUGAGUCUGGUAGAGGUCGAUGGAAUUCCGGGUGUAGCGGUGGAAUGCGUAGAGAUCCGGAAGAACACCGGUGGCGAAGGCGGUCGACUGGGCCAGUACUGACGCUGAGGCGCGACAGCGUGGGGAGCAAACAGGAUUAGAUACCCUGGUAGUCCACGCCGUAAACGAUGGGCACUAGAUCCUUGGGGGAGCGACCCCUUGAGGGUCGGCGCUAACGCAUUAAGUGCCCCGCCUGGGGAGUACGGCCGCAAGGCUG
RNAcentral lists this ribosomal RNA (527 nucleotides) under uncultured Gemmatimonadota bacterium. Its description in RNAcentral is "bacterial SSU rRNA". It matches the Rfam family "Bacterial small subunit ribosomal RNA", at positions 370 to 896 of the family's 1533-position model. Lineage: Bacteria; Pseudomonadati; Gemmatimonadota. The record is from RNAcentral.